RNAcentral lists this long non-coding RNA (1718 nucleotides) under Anas platyrhynchos platyrhynchos (common mallard). RNAcentral's name for it is "lncRNA (ENSAPLG00000017970.1)". Lineage: Eukaryota; Metazoa; Chordata; Aves; Anseriformes; Anatidae. The record is from RNAcentral.
GUACCUAUUUACUUUCAACGUGAGUUGCUGUGAUAAGAAUUUAUUACAGGACCUUGGGGAAAUGUUGUUACAUCUAUUAAAAAAAAAGUUGCCAUUAAUUUUGUGGAAUUAGAACAUCGAUUUAAUUUGGCCUUCUUUAAUUGAUGUUAGGUCAGAAUGAUUUGCGGACAAACAUGUCAUGUUGACUCCCUGUGACUGACCAUCAUGGGCAUUGACUUCUGGGCUUUGGAACAGCUGCUGCUUCCGUAGACUGUUGAGGCAUAAAAACCUCUUGGAAUAGGACUCAGAAGAUGUUUCUGUUUUUUUCAAUAAGCACGUGAAAUUCCCAGAUUGGGAUUGGAGCUAUGGAAUUUGUAUUUCUGUCAUAAUGUGUGGUCUCACCUGGGCGUACUCUACCCUUUUCCCUACACCAAAUGUGCAUAGCACAGUUGGGUCUGACUUGCCCAAGCUACCUCCUAAAAGUCAAGGUUGUCAGACACCAAGUGAUGUAUGAGCUCCAACAGCACUGCUCUGCAGUUGGUGACCUGCCUGCUCAGGGAGUUCAGGUCCACGGUUGGAUUAACAUCUCAUUCCUUCUGUAUGUCUGGAUAUCUGGAAUUGCCUUGACAUGUUGAAAGAAAUGCCAUCAAGCUUCUUUUACGUAUUUUGGAUGUGCUUUAAUUCUUAGUAUACUUCAGCUUCAUACCUGUUCUGUAAUAAUACAUCACAUUUGAAAUCACAGUGACAGUGGAUUAUCCAACUUCUGUGGAGUCAAAAUCAGAUGCAGCAUCUCUUGUACGUAGCGAAUUCAGGAUCACUCAGUGCAUAUGCUUCCUCCCUCCCUGACUAUUUUACUACCCUUGCAUAGUUGGUCUUCAUACAGGCGUUAACAGAGAACCAUUCAUAAUGUCAAAUGCUUAAAAUUUCCAAUCUCAGUAAGAAAGUUGCCAUCUUGUAGUCUUCCUGUUUGCUGGGACUUGCUCCUUUAAGGCAAAGAUGAAGCUUGAUGUAGCUUGUGUAGAGAAGUUUCCCAAAUUUCCAGAGAACCAACCGAAGGCUUUUAAUAGCUGCCUUCUUGUACUUGUGCUUACCUCACCUCUGCUCCGCAGGCAGUGCAUCUUCUCAUUGUGUCCUAGCCCUGAGGCUCUGACACAGAGCUGCCUCUAGCUUCACACCAUACCGGGCAGUGCGGCAGCCCUUCUAGCUGGCUCCUGCCAGCAAGGCCUGAAAUUGCCACUGCCCUCACAUUCGGCCUUUUGAUGGUUUCUUACUGAGCUCUAACAGAAACAACAAAUCUCCUUAUUUUGUUGCUAAGUCCAUGGUGUUUAAAUUGCACUGACUCUUUGGUCAGAGUUCAGCGCAGCAAACUGUAGGGAAUGGUUUUUGACUGAGAUGGAGCUUAGGAGAUGUAUUAUUUAUUGCAUUCAAUUUUGAAAUGUGGCAAGUGCUAUAAAAUGUUUUUUCCCCAGCUAACUCAAAGCUAUGAAGGAUAGAGAGCCUGCUUCAUUUCAAAUACCUUGCCUUGCCUGUUCUUGGUGGAACUGAAAAUAUGUUUAGAGGGUUAUUUUUUGGUUGUUAUUUUCCCAUGUAUUUGAUAACCCAUUAGAAGUCUUGGUCAGUUUCAAGAAGUAACUGGAAGAGAGUCACAAAAUGCUGCUCGUGUCAUUAGACAUUCUUACUUUAUAUAAAAAAUACUUCAUAUGAAUAAAAAGCUGAAUUUCUUUUAAAAUUUUAAGAUA